AACCUGCCCUCCACUUCGGGAUAAGCCUUGGAAACGAGGUCUAAUACCGGAUACGAGCACUUACCGCAUGGUGGGUGUUGGAAAGUUUUUCGGUGGGGGAUGGGCUCGCGGCCUAUCAGCUUGUUGGUGGGGUAAUGGCCUACCAAGGCGUCGACGGGUAGCCGGCCUGAGAGGGCGACCGGCCACACUGGGACUGAGACACGGCCCAGACUCCUACGGGAGGCAGCAGUGGGGAAUAUUGCACAAUGGGCGAAAGCCUGAUGCAGCGACGCCACGUGAGGGAUGACGGCCUUCGGGUUGUAAACCUCUUUCAGCAGGGAAGAAGCGCAAGUGACGGUACCUGCAGAAGAAGCGCCGGCUAACUACGUGCCAGCAGCCGCGGUAAUACGUAGGGCGCAAGCGUUGUCCGGAAUUAUUGGGCGUAAAGAGCUCGUAGGCGGUCUGUCGCGUCUGGUGUGAAAUCCCAUGGCUCAACCAUGGGCUUGCAUCGGGUACGGGCAGACUAGAGUGCUGUAGGGGAGACUGGAAUUCCUGGU
The sequence is a ribosomal RNA, 536 nucleotides long. It matches the Rfam family "Bacterial small subunit ribosomal RNA", at positions 123 to 674 of the family's 1533-position model.